RNAcentral lists this non-coding RNA (87 nucleotides) under Pseudomonas tolaasii NCPPB 2192. The record is from RNAcentral. Lineage: Bacteria; Pseudomonadati; Pseudomonadota; Gammaproteobacteria; Pseudomonadales; Pseudomonadaceae.
GUGGGAGCUGGCUUGCCUGCGAUAGCGGUCUGUCAGCCAGCCCAGUGAUAUCUGGCCCACCGCUAUCGCAGGCAAGCCAGCUCCCAC